UUUUUGAAAAUAAUAUAAAGUCUAAUCUGCCCACUGAUUUAUUAUUAAAGGGCUGCAGUAUAUUGACUGUACAAAGGUAGCAUAAUCAUUUGUCUCUUAAUUGGUGACUUGUAUGAAAGAUUGAAUGAAAUAUAAACUGUCUCAUUAUAAUUUGUAAAAUUUAAUUUUUUAGUAAAAAAGCUAAAAUUUAUUUAAAAGACGAGAAGACCCUAUAGAGUUUUAUAUUUUUUUUAAAAAUAAUAAAAUAUAAAUUUUUAAAUUAUAUUUAAUAAAAAUAUUUUGUUGGGGUGACAAAAAAAUUUAAUUAACUUUUUUUAAAAAUUUACAUUAAUUUAUGAGAAGAUGAUCCAUUAAUAAUGAUUAUAAGAAAAAAUUACCUUAGGGAUAACAGCGUAAUUUUUUUUUUUAGGUCAAAUAAGAAGAAAAGUUUGCGACCUCGAUGUUGGAUUAAGAUAAAAUUUAAAUGCAAAAGUUUAAAAUUUUGAUCUGUUCGAUCAUUAAAAUCUUACAUG
RNAcentral lists this ribosomal RNA (512 nucleotides) under Byasa dasarada (great windmill). RNAcentral describes it as "Atrophaneura dasarada (great windmill) partial 16S ribosomal RNA". The stretch from base 384 to 512 matches the Rfam family "Bacterial large subunit ribosomal RNA", at positions 2473 to 2602 of the family's 2925-position model. The record is from RNAcentral. Lineage: Eukaryota; Metazoa; Arthropoda; Insecta; Lepidoptera; Papilionidae.